UGGCCAUCAGAAUUUGUUAUUCCUUUGGCCAAGUACCAAAAAUGUAUAUAUGGGACCCAAAUUGUUAUUGGUAUGAGGUUUGGAAUUUGAUGUUUGAGACAGAGGAAUCGGGAAAGCGCAGAUACUUGGGUACAACAGUUGGUAUAAGUGACCUAGAUCCACUGAGCUGGGCAGAUUGUUUAGUAGGCAACUUCAGUACAAGCCAGGAUGUUCAGUCCCAGAUUACCUCAGUGAGCUUAGCAGACUCUCAAGCCUUCUCUCGUCCAGACUUCCCUGACAACUAAGGUGGUACUUCAUCAAGCAAUGUGGAUUUUGAUGAAAACAGUCUUUUGCAUAAUAGCUCUUGGCAACAAGUAGCUCCACCACCAAUGCGAACUUAUACAAAGGUUCAAAAAAUGGGAUCAGUUGGGAGGUCAAUUGAUGUUGCAAGUUUUAAGAAUUAUGCAGAAUUAUGCUUGGCAAUUGAAUGCAUGUUUGGACUUGAGGGUCUGCUCAAUGACUAGAAACGCUCAGGCUAGAAAUUGGUGUAUGUGGAUUAUGAGAAUGAUGUACUUCUUAUUAGGGAUGAUCCCUGGAAGUAAGUUCUGUUCUGUUGUUUUGUGUAUACAUGUACUAAUAGAACCCAGAUCAACUCAACCCCCACUAUACCAUUAUAGUAACUAGACCAAUACAUUCUCACAGUAAAAUUAAGCAGAAAUAAAGUCAG
Vitis vinifera (wine grape) is the source of this 706-nucleotide long non-coding RNA. RefSeq lists it as uncharacterized. Lineage: Eukaryota; Viridiplantae; Streptophyta; Magnoliopsida; Vitales; Vitaceae. The transcript has 3 exons. The record is from RefSeq and is a predicted model, not a curated record.